GUGCUCGCUUGGUCAGCACAUAUACUAAAAUUGGAAUGAUACAGAGAUUAGCAUGGCCCCUAAAAUUAAUUUCAUUAUUGGGCUGAGAAGGUGGCUAAAUGGUU
RNAcentral lists this small nuclear RNA (104 nucleotides) under Jaculus jaculus (lesser Egyptian jerboa). The record is from RNAcentral. Lineage: Eukaryota; Metazoa; Chordata; Mammalia; Rodentia; Dipodidae.